Molecule: ribosomal RNA, 424 nt
Filed under: uncultured bacterium
Lineage: Bacteria
Description: SSU rRNA
Rfam family: Bacterial small subunit ribosomal RNA
Source: RNAcentral
CAAUGGGGGAAACCCUGAUGCAGCGACGCCGCGUGAGUGAUGAAGUAUUUCCGUAUGUAAAACUCUAUCAGCAGGGNAAGAUAAUGACGGUACCUGACUAAGAAGCACCGGCUAAAUACGUGCCAGCAGCCGCGGUAAUACGUAUGGUGCAAGCGUUAUCCGGAUUUACUGGGUGUAAAGGGUGCGUAGGUGGUAUGGCAAGUCAGAAGUGAAAGGCUGGGGCUCAACCCCGGGACUGCUUUUGAAACUGUCAAACUAGAGUACAGGAGAGGAAAGCGGAAUUCCUAGUGUAGCGGUGAAAUGCGUAGAUAUUAGGAGGAACACCAGUGGCGAAGGCGGCUUUCUGGACUGAAACUGACACUGAGGCACGAAAGCGUGGGGAGCAAACAGGAUUAGAUACCCCUGGUAGUCCAAGGGCGAAUUC